UACGUAGGUGACAAGCGUUAUCCGGAUUCACUGGGUGUAAAGGGAGCGUAGACGGCCAUGCAAGCCUGGAGUGAAAGCCCGGGGCCCAACCCCGGGACUGCUCUGGGAACUGUGCGGCUGGAGUGCGGGAGGGGCAGGCGGAAUUCCUGGUGUAGCGGUGAAAUGCGUAGAUAUCAGGAGGAACACCGGCGGCGAAGGCGGCCUGCUGGACCGCGACUGACGUUGAGGCUCGAAAGCGUGGGGAGCAAACAGG
RNAcentral lists this ribosomal RNA (253 nucleotides) under uncultured bacterium. RNAcentral describes it as "partial 16S ribosomal RNA". It matches the Rfam family "Bacterial small subunit ribosomal RNA", at positions 524 to 776 of the family's 1533-position model. The record is from RNAcentral.